This 233-nucleotide ribosomal RNA is filed under the name uncultured Pseudomonas sp. Its description in RNAcentral is "partial 16S ribosomal RNA". It matches the Rfam family "Bacterial small subunit ribosomal RNA", at positions 1147 to 1382 of the family's 1533-position model. Lineage: Bacteria; Pseudomonadati; Pseudomonadota; Gammaproteobacteria; Pseudomonadales; Pseudomonadaceae. The record is from RNAcentral.
CGGUCGGAGUAAACCGGAGGAAGGUGGGGAUGACGUCAAGUCAUCAUGGCCCUUACGGCCUGGGCUACACACGUGCUACAAUGGUCGGUACAAAGGGUUGCCAAGCCGCGAGGUGGAGCUAAUCCCAUAAAACCGAUCGUAGUCCGGAUCGCAGUCUGCAACUCGACUGCGUGAAGUCGGAAUCGCUAGUAAUCGUGAAUCAGAAUGUCACGGUGAAUACGUUCCCGGGCCUU